This 2500-nucleotide long non-coding RNA is filed under the name Marmota monax (woodchuck). The record is from RNAcentral. Lineage: Eukaryota; Metazoa; Chordata; Mammalia; Rodentia; Sciuridae.
CUGAAGGCUUUCUUUCAUGUUCUUUCUUUUUGUUCCUCUGACCAGGAAACUUAGACGACCUGCAUUUGUCAACCUGUUUCAAGCUUGCUGGUAAGUCUGCUGUUGAAGCUCUCUUUAGCUUUUCAUUUCAGUCAUCGUGUUCUUCAGCUCCAGGAUGUUGUGUUCCUUUUUUAUGGUUUUUAUCUUUGUUGGAUCCUCCCUCUACUUGUGCACCCCUUUCCUAUUUAUUACCUGUGUCCCUGGUAGGUCACCAAACUUCUUCAAGAUGAUUAUUUUGAGUUCUUUGUCAGGAAGUUCAAAGAUCUCCAUUGCCUUAGGGCCAGUCACUGGUGCCUAGUUGUAUCAUGCCUCCCUGAUUCUUCCCACCCUGUUGCCUUGAGUUUGGGUCUGAGCAUUUGAAGACAUAGGAACUGUUAGGUGCAGGACAGGCUGAGUAAGCUGUCUGCAGGGCAUGCCAAACAAAGUUAGCUGCAGGAUGACCUGCCCUCUGAAACCCUCUGUCUGGUUCUUUAUCAACUAUUUGCUUCAAGCCCAAACGCCCAAGCCCCCGCUCAAGGCUGAACACUCAACCCCCUGCUCAAGGCCAAACACGUAACCCCCCUUGUGUCAACAAGGCAGCUUGCAGACCCAGAGACCUCAUUAGAUUUGGGCUAUAAAAACUCCCUCCUGCCGGGCCCCUCUCUCUUGCUUUCUCUGUCUCUCUCUUGCGUGCACUUCCUCUCUCUCUCUCUCUCUCUCUCUCUCUCUCUCUCUCUCUCUCUCUUUUUCUCCUCUGUUGCACUGCUGCAAUAAAGAUCUUUUGGUUGCUCUGAGUGUUGUGGUCACUUUCCUUUCAGGAACCUCUAUGGUCUUUGCUCCCUGGCUUCUGCAAGGAAAUCCAUGCACCAGUCCACUUAUCAGAGGGAUUCUGGGCAGGCCAGCUGGCGGAUCCAUGGACAGGCACACUGCUUGGAGUCCUGAGGUCACUGGGUGGGUGGACCUGGAGGCUGGGUCCUCUGGGGUGGACCUGGAGAUUCGUUCCACUGGAGUAGGCCUGUUGACUGGGUCUGCAGUGGGGAGCGGUACCUGGAAACUGUCUGUGGGGCUGGCCUGAUUCCUAGGUCCAUGGAUCCAAACUUUCCCUGGGGUGAGCUUUGAGCCUGAGUCCACAGGGCAUGGCCUGGCACUGGGUGGGCCUUGGGCUUGGUUCCACAGGCAUGAGCCUGGUCCUGAGUCCACAGGGGCCACCCUGAUGCCAGGGUUCACUCAGGUAGGCCUGGGGUCAGAGAAGCUAAAUUAGUGGAGGUCAGCCUGGUACUGGGGCUGCAAGAGCCGGCCUGGCAGGGAUGACCUGGUGUCUGAGUCUCCUGGGUCCUGAGUCUACAUGGGCCAGCCUGGAUCCUGGGCCUUGACCCUGGAUCCACUAUGGGGAUUCUUAAUGUCGACUGCUGCACAGCACUAGAGAACUAAUGGUCAUCAGCCAAUAUCCUUCCCCACUUCCAACCAACCAAGGGUUCAGUGGCCCGAGCACACCGUGUUGUGCAUCACACCCCCACCGAGUUCGUGAUACUGUUGGCACAUGCCUGGAUGUACCUGAGUUGCACCAGGUAAAGCCCAUUCAACGUCCACUGUCAGCGUUGGCUCUGACCACCCCCCCCCACGUUGGCCUAACCAGUCGGCACAACUGCACUUCCCUCAGGUAGAUAGUCUGUUGAGCUGAACUUUCCAUUUCUUGCUCGUUUGUCUAAAAAGCCUUUAUAUUGCCUUUGUUUUUGAAAAUCAUUCUUUCCUCCGUGUAAACUUCUGGGUUGACACUUGGAGGAUGCAGUCCUGUUGUCUUCCAGAGGCCAUGGCUGCAGCGGAGCGUCCCUGUGGACUGGUUUCAGUCGGGGUGACCUUUUGCUCUCUGGCUGCUCUCAGAACUGUCUUCAGUGCCCUGCGGCUUCACUAGGACGGCUCAGGAUCUGCAUUUCUAUUUGCCCUUCCUGGCAUUCUUGAAUCUCUGCACUCUGCACUCCGUCACUCUUCCUGGAGGACAGCCAGCCAGUGUCCUUGGAUGCCAGCUCUUCCACUCUGCCUCCGCCUGGAGUCUGUGGGAGCUCCACGCCCUCCUCCUCGCACCCCCUUGAUCUCUGCAGAGUCAGGGGUUUCAUCAGUACCAUUUUCCAGUUCAGUAAUUUGGUUGGGGAGGGGGAGUACUGGGGAUGGAACCCAGGGGUGCUUCACCACUGAGCCACAUCCCCAGCCCUUUUUGAGACAGGCUCUUGCUAAGUUGCUGAUGGUCUCACUAAAUUGCUGAGACUGUCCUCAAACUUGCAAUCCUCCUGCCUCAGCCUCCCAAGCCACUGAGUUACAGGCGUGCGUUACCAUGCCGGCCAGGUCAAUAAAUCUUUCUUUGGUUGUUUCUAACCUGAGAUUAAGCCCGUACACUGAGAUGUAAACGUCCGUGGUGUAGAAGAGCUGUCUGGGAAGGAAAAUGGCCCUGAGAGUUCACUGUGAGUGGCCUGGACAGAGGCUGGCU